RNAcentral lists this ribosomal RNA (411 nucleotides) under uncultured Amphora sp. Its description in RNAcentral is "SSU rRNA". It matches the Rfam family "Eukaryotic small subunit ribosomal RNA", at positions 567 to 990 of the family's 1831-position model. The record is from RNAcentral. Lineage: Eukaryota; Bacillariophyta; Bacillariophyceae; Surirellales; Surirellaceae.
CCAGCAGCCGCGGUAAUUCCAGCUCCAAUAGCGUAUAUUAAAGUUGUUGCAGUUAAAAAGCUCGUAGUUGGAUUUGUGGUGAUCCCUGGGGUCCGAUUUCGGUACUCUUGGGGAUCGCCAUCCUUGGGUGGAUCCUGUGUGGCAUUAGGUUGUCGUGCGGGGGAUGCCCAUCGUUUACUGUGAAAAAAUUAGAGUGUUCAAAGCAGGCUUAUGCCGUUGAAUAUAUUAGCAUGGAAUAAUAAGAUAGGACCUUGGUACUAUUUUGUUGGUUUGCGCACCGAGGUAAUGAUUAAUAGGGACAGUUGUGGGUAUUCGUAUUCCAUUGUCAGAGGUGAAAUUCUUGGAUUUCUGGAAGACGAACUACUGCGAAAGCAUUUAGCAAGGAUGUUUUCAUUAAUCAAGAACGAAAGU